This 496-nucleotide ribosomal RNA is filed under the name uncultured bacterium. RNAcentral describes it as "partial 16S ribosomal RNA". It matches the Rfam family "Bacterial small subunit ribosomal RNA", at positions 28 to 523 of the family's 1533-position model. The record is from RNAcentral.
GAUGAACGCUAGCGGCAGGCUUAACACAUGCAAGUCGAGGGGUAGAGGUUGCUUGCAACCUUGAGACCGGCGCACGGGUGCGUAACGCGUAUACAACCUACCUUUUACAGAGGGAUAGCCCAGAGAAAUUUGGAUUAAUACCUCAUAGUAUAUAACCUUCGCAUGUUGGUUAUAUUAAAGUUCCAACGGUAAAAGAUGGGCAUGCGUCCUAUUAGCUAGAUGGUAAGGUAACGGCUUACCAUGGCAACGAUAGGUAGGGGUCCUGAGAGGGAGAUCCCCCACACUGGUACUGAGACACGGACCAGACUCCUACGGGAGGCAGCAGUGAGGAAUAUUGGACAAUGGGCGCAAGCCUGAUCCAGCCAUGUCGCGUGCAGGAAGAAGCAUCUAUGGUGUGUAAACUGCUUUUGUACAGGAAGAAACACCCCGACGUGUCGGGGCUUGACGGUACUGUAAGAAUAAGGAUCGGCUAACUCCGUGCCAGCAGCCGCAGUAA